UUUGGAUUUGCACUUGGGAUUAUUUAAAGAUGGAAGGAGUGAGGACAGGACUAGGAGGCCGUCUGUCUCUCUGUCUGACUAGGAGGCUGUCUGUCUCUCUGUCUGACUAGGAGGCUGUCUGUCUCUCUGUCUGACUAGGAGGCUGUCUGUCUCUCUGUCUGACUAGGAGGCUGUCUGUCUCUCUGUCUGACUAGGAGGCUGUCUGUCUCUCUGUCUGACUAGGAGGCUGUCUGUCUCUUGGGCUGUGGUGUGUGUGUGUUGUGCUCUGACAGGGUAGACAGGCUGGUAGUGUGGUGGUAUGAGGGGUGUCUCUGUGCUGAUCUAGCCCAGCAGAGGGCACUGUCACGUGAGAUGAGCUUAACUACCUGUCAGGGUAGCAUGGUGCUGCUAGCACAAGGCUAGUUGCUGUUGUUUCAGAGUCCCGCCACUCAGCCUGACUCAGGAAAGGGUUCCGAUUGGCUCUUAGCCCGACUCAGGAAAGGGGUUCGAUUGGCUCUUAGCCCGACUCAGGAAAGUGUUCUGAUUGGCUCUCAGCCUGACUCAGGAAAGGGUUCCGAUUGGCUCUUAGCCUGACUCAGGAAAGGGUUCCGAUUGGCUCUCAGCCUGACUCAGGAAAGGGUUCCGAUUGGCUCUCAGCCUGACUCAGGAAAGGGUUUCUGAAUCUGAUUUGGUUCUUCAAAGCUGUUCAGGGAAAACCAUGCUCUGGGUGCAAGUCUCCCCUUAACACAGAUCUAUGAUCGGCUCCUCCCUACAUCCUAACCUUAAACCAUUUGGGGAGAAGGGGCCAGUGUCUGGGCAGGGCCAGGUAAAUAAAGCCCUCUGAUCAGUUAUCACCGGGUGUUAUUGUGUGCCUGUCGGAGUGGAUGGUUAGACGAGAGACAAGCCGUCUGUCUGUUGAGACGUGACGCGGCACCCAAGUGUUAAUCUCCUCUGUUUGGUGUGUCUCCCCCUACCCCUCUCUGUGUCUCUCUCUCUCUCUCUCUCUCUCUCUCUCUCUCUCUCUCUCUGUCUCUGUCUCUCUCUCUGUCUCUGUCUCCCUCUCUGUCUCUCUGUCUCUGUCUCUCUGUCUCUGUCUCUCUCUCCCUCCCUCUCUCUCUCUCUCUGUCUCUCUCUCUCUCUCUCUCCUCUCUCUCUCUCUCUCUCUGUCCCUCUCUCUCUCUCUCUCUGUCCCUC
Long non-coding RNA from Oncorhynchus tshawytscha (Chinook salmon), 1173 nucleotides. The record is from Ensembl. Lineage: Eukaryota; Metazoa; Chordata; Actinopteri; Salmoniformes; Salmonidae.